This 142-nucleotide small RNA is filed under the name Paenibacillus sp. Its description in RNAcentral is "c-di-AMP sequence". It matches the Rfam family "c-di-AMP riboswitch aptamer (ydaO/yuaA leader)". Rfam says of the family: This family represents a conserved RNA structure found upstream of the ydaO and yuaA genes in Bacillus subtilis and related genes in other bacteria. The ydaO/yuaA element is thought to act as a genetic "off" switch for the ydaO and yuaA genes in its native state. The record is from RNAcentral. Lineage: Bacteria; Bacillati; Bacillota; Bacilli; Caryophanales; Paenibacillaceae.
CAUGGAAUCACGCUUAGUUUUCAGAUACAGAAUCUGGAAAGCGGGGGAACCAGUAUUAAUGGGGCGAAUCACUUGAAUUCGAGUGUAGGGUACCAUCUUACCCGAGUCCGUCAGCUAACCUCGUCAGCAGUGGAUGGGUCUU